This 492-nucleotide ribosomal RNA is filed under the name uncultured bacterium. RNAcentral's name for it is "partial 16S ribosomal RNA". It matches the Rfam family "Bacterial small subunit ribosomal RNA", at positions 29 to 507 of the family's 1533-position model. The record is from RNAcentral.
AGUGAACGCUGGCGGUAGGCCUAACACAUGCAAGUCGAACGGCAGCACAGUAAGAGCUUGCUCUUACGGGUGGCGAGUGGCGGACGGGUGAGGAAUACAUCGGAAUCUACUUUUUCGUGGGGGAUAACGUAGGGAAACUUACGCUAAUACCGCAUACGACCUACGGGUGAAAGUAGGGGAUCUUCGGACCUUGCGCGAUUGAUUGAGCCGAUGUCGGAUUAGCUAGUUGGCGGGGUAAAGGCCCACCAAGGCGACGAUCCGUAGCUGGUCUGAGAGGAUGAUCAGCCACACUGGAACUGAGACACGGUCCAGACUCCUACGGGAGGCAGCAGUGGGGAAUAUUGGACAAUGGGCGCAAGCCUGAUCCAGCCAUACCGCGUGGGUGAAGAAGGCCUUCGGGUUGUAAAGCCCUUUUGUUGGGAAAGAAAAGCAGCAGGUUAAUACCCCGCUGUUCUGACGGUACCCAAAGAAUAAGCACCGGCUAACUUCGUG